UUUCCAAGUGGCGCCAGAGAGGAGAGAGAGAGAGYCUGUCUCUCUCUCAAAAAGGGGGCCAACAACAAACGAGWGAGUGACACUCUCUCUAUCUGCCCUUCACUCUGGGACAAGCCCUGGAAACGGGGUCUAAUACCGGAUAAUACUCCUGCCUGCAUGGGCGGGAGUUGAAAGCUCCGGCGGUGAAGGAUGAGCCCGCGGCCUAUCAGCUUUGUUGGGGGGGGUAAUGGCCCACCAAGGCGACGACGGGUGAGCCGGCCUUAGAGGGCGACCGGCCACACUGUGACUGAGACACGGCCCAGACUCCUACGGGGAGGCAGGUAGUUGGGGAAUAUUGCACAGUUGGGCCAAAGGCCCUGAUGCAGCGACGCCGCGUUGAAGGCAUGACCGGCCCUUCGGGUUUGUAAAACCUCUUUCAGGCAGCGGAAAGAAAGCGAAAAAGGUGGACCGGGUCACCUUGCAAAAAGUAAAGCGCCCGGGCUUAACUUCCGUGCCCAUCCAUCCCGCGCGUACUU
This 515-nucleotide ribosomal RNA is filed under the name bacterium A25. RNAcentral describes it as "bacterial SSU rRNA". The stretch from base 1 to 374 matches the Rfam family "Bacterial small subunit ribosomal RNA", at positions 54 to 400 of the family's 1533-position model. The record is from RNAcentral.